AACGAACGCUGGCGGCAUGCCUAACACAUGCAAGUCGAACGAGACCUUCGGGUCUAGUGGCGCACGGGUGCGUAACGCGUGGGAACCUGCCCUUAGGUUCGGAAUAACUCCCCGAAAGGGGUGCUAAUACCGGAUAAUGUCUUCGGACCAAAGAUUUAUCGCCUUUGGAUGGGCCCGCGUUGGAUUAGCUGGUUGGUAGGGUAAAAGCCUACCAAGGCGACGAUCCAUAGCUGGUCUGAGAGGAUGAUCAGCCACACUGGGACUGAGACACGGCCCAGACUCCUACGGGAAGCAGCAGUGGGGAAUAUUGGACAAUGGGCGAAAGCCUGAUCCAGCAAUGCCGCGUGAGUGAUGAAGGCCUUAGGGUUGUAAAGCUCUUUUACCCGGGAUGAUAAUGACAGUACCGGGAGAAUAAGCUCCGGCUAACUCCGUG
RNAcentral lists this ribosomal RNA (433 nucleotides) under uncultured bacterium. RNAcentral's name for it is "partial 16S ribosomal RNA". It matches the Rfam family "Bacterial small subunit ribosomal RNA", at positions 29 to 507 of the family's 1533-position model. The record is from RNAcentral.